Molecule: ribosomal RNA, 404 nt
Filed under: Verrucomicrobiota bacterium
Lineage: Bacteria; Pseudomonadati; Verrucomicrobiota
Description: Verrucomicrobia bacterium partial 16S ribosomal RNA
Rfam family: Bacterial small subunit ribosomal RNA
Source: RNAcentral
UGGGGAAUAUUGCACAAUGGGGGGAACCCUGAUGCAGCGACGCCGCGUGAGUGAAGAAGUAUUUCGGUAUGUAAAGCUCUAUCAGCAGGGAAGAAGAUGACGGUACCUGAGUAAGAAGCCCCGGCUAACUACGUGCCAGCAGCCGCGGUAAUACGUAGGGGGCAAGCGUUAUCCGGAUUUACUGGGUGUAAAGGGAGCGCAGACGGCUAUGCAAGUCUGAAGUGAAAGCCCGGGGCUCAACCCCGGGAUUGCUUUGGAAACUGUGUAGCUAGAGUGUCGGAGAGGUAAGCAGAAUUCCCAGUGUAGCGGUGAAAUGCGUAGAUAUUAGGAAGAAUACCGGUGGCGAAGGCGGCUUACUGGACGAUAACUGACGUUCAGGUUCGAAGGCGUGGGGAGCAAACAGG